AUACAAUGGCUUGGUGAGAAAUAUAAAGUUGUGUUAAUUGUAUUGUUUGUUAUUGACUUGAUUUCUCUGUGAUUGACCAAGACUUUACUAUGCUUUUUGGAGAUGACAUUUCAAGCAAGUUUAUUGCAAAAUGGCCAACAUUCUAAAAGCCGAGAAUAAUUGCUGACUGCAAACCUGCAUCAUGAUUCACAUGUGGAUGACCUUUUGUCUGCUCUGGAUCAGUCUGAUUAUGGAUGGGAUGGUGAUGUGGCUACUGUUCUCUUGCCUCCAACUGUAAAGGAAGACUGGGAAAAUCAGUGCUACAGAAGCAGCAGAUCAUGUUGUAAAGUUCAUGAAGGUGGGGACAAGCAUCAAGGCAUUUCUUGAGCGAGCUGGAUCUACACAGCCCUUCCUCUGUGUUGGAGAAAAGAGGAGUAGCAUUCAGACGUUUUACAUAGUCCUGGACCAGAAGGCCAUUCCCUGCAUGGUGCAGACAGCUGUUGCAGCCUUUAAACUCUUUAAGGCACACUUUGUCUUUGCUGUAUCGGAUGAGGCCUUGUGCAACUUCUACGCGUUCAUUCAAACAACGGUGUAUGGAAUUGAUGUUGUCACUGCCAAGGAAAGUCCAAGGGUCAAGGAAAUCCGUGUGAAUUCACAACACUGAGGUUUGACUCCCCCUUCCCCCCCCAGCAUCUUGCUCAAAUGUUCUCAUGCUUUUGUUGCAAGGUACAUCACAGAAGAUGUUCAGGAUUUUUUCAGUAUCUGACAUUAUGCACUAUUUACUCGAAGGGGUUGUGCAGUAUGAGUUAAGACUGCUUUUUCAGUACUUUGUUAAAGACUGCAUUGUUAUCAGACACACUUUCAGAAAGAAUUCAGAGCUUUAAUUACACUGAAAGUGUUGCAUGCAAAACUGUUGCAAACAAUUUAUUUGUGUUGAAUCUAAAGGAACAAAUUAAAUUGAUCAAUGUUCAACUUAAUUUGUUUGUUUAAAUUCAGCCCAAAUAAAUUUAUAACCACUCAAUGUAAAAAAAAUUGAGAAUCCAAGGAAUCGUCUUUGAAUUUUUUUCAGUGUAUGGGUACAGUGAAAGAGGGAACGGACCAAGUGGAGUUAAAAUUGAAUGCCAUUCAGUCAUGGUGCCUUCUGCCCAAUACCCCCUUGUUAUUUGGAGAUCUAGUUGACAUGGACAAUGGUUAUGUAAUAUCUUGGCACUCUAUCACAUCCUCCAACCCACCAGGGGGCGCAGAUAUUGCCCUAUUCUCCUCCACAUUAGAUGGCGGUAGUGAUUCUUGUUCCUCUAAACUCCCCUGUAAUCAGCCUAAUCACCACCAGCUGUUCUUUGCUCUAUAUAAGACCGCUUCAUAUCCUGCUCUGUGUUCAGUCCUGAACUCUCUUGCUGCCUCGUCCAGAGUCCAAUUAAGCUAUUCUCAAGACUUUUUGCUUGCUAUAUUUCUGUUUGAUUGUUCUGAGACCCUCGUGUCUAUUUUGUAUGUAUUUUAGGAAGCUCGGCUUUCCUAUUUUUGUUGUACUUUUUCAACCCUGACUGUAGAGAUAUAUUGUCUCUCCUUGUAAAGUUCUCUUCAGUAAAGACUGUUUUUUUGGAAUUCA
Molecule: long non-coding RNA, 1585 nt
Organism: Danio aesculapii
Lineage: Eukaryota; Metazoa; Chordata; Actinopteri; Cypriniformes; Danionidae
Exons: 3
Source: RefSeq, a predicted model, not a curated record